CCUACGGGUGGCAGCAGUGAGGAAUAUUGGUCAAUGGACGGGAGCCUGAACCAGCCAAGUAGCGUGAAGGAUGACGGCCCUAUGUGUUGUAAACUUCUUUUAUACGGGAAUAAAAUGUUCCACGUGUGGGGUUUUGUAUGUACCAUAUGAAUAAGGAUCGGCUAACUCCGUGCCAGCAGCCGCGGUAAUACGGAGGAUCCGAGCGUUAUCCGGAUUUAUUGGGUUUAAAGGGAGCGUAGGUGGCUUGUCAAGUCAGCUGUGAAAGUUUGAGGCUCUACCGGAGACUUGCAGUUGAAACUGGCGUGCUUGAGUACGGUAGAGGUGGGCGGAAUUCGUGGUGUAGCGGUGAAAUGCUUAGAUAUCACGAAGAACCCCGAUUGCGAAGGCAGCUCACUGGACUGCAACUGACGCCGAGGCUCGAAAGUGUGGGUAUCAAACAGGAUUAGAUACCCUGGUAGUC
This 460-nucleotide ribosomal RNA is filed under the name uncultured bacterium. Its description in RNAcentral is "partial 16S ribosomal RNA". It matches the Rfam family "Bacterial small subunit ribosomal RNA", at positions 338 to 795 of the family's 1533-position model. The record is from RNAcentral.